UUUCCUUGCAACUGAAAUGGUACAGUUCAACUAUGCAAAUUUUGGUAUCUGUACAGCUAAGGAUAUAUGUAUCAGUGAUGCUAACUUGUAAUAAAUUGCAUAAAGUCUGAAAGGGAGAAAGGCAAGGUUCUUCAUGUUCAUUGUGUGUCUCAUUUACUGCAAAUAUCUCAAUUUUUUUGUGUAAUCAGUUGCUCUGUGCCUCCCACUGGUGCUAGAAAACAAUCAGCAUGACAAUCAAAUUCAAGCGUACAUAUGAUGAACCUUUUCAUCUUCAGUGUGGAUUGAACGGCAACAUAUAUCUCCUCCAUAAUGGUACCAACAGCUGUCCAUGGCCGAGGAUUACUUUUCUUUUUAACUCCUUUUGUUAACUUACUACAUCUUUUCCUCUAUGGUAU
RNAcentral lists this long non-coding RNA (395 nucleotides) under Mytilus galloprovincialis (Mediterranean mussel). Lineage: Eukaryota; Metazoa; Mollusca; Bivalvia; Mytilida; Mytilidae. The record is from RNAcentral.